GAUGAACGCUGGCGGCGUGCCUAAUACAUGCAAGUCGAGCGAACAGACGAGGAGCUUGCUCCUCUGACGUUAGCGGCGGACGGGUGAGUAACACGUGGAUAACCUACCUAUAAGACUGGGAUAACUUCGGGAAACCGGAGCUAAUACCGGAUAAUAUAUUGAACCGCAUGGUUCAAUAGUGAAAGACGGUUUUGCUGUCACUUAUAGAUGAAUCCGCGCCGCAUUAGCUAGUUGGUAAGGUAACGGCUUACCAAGGCAACGAUGCGUAGCCGACCUGAGAGGGUGAUCGGCCACACUGGAACUGAGACACGGUCCAGACUCCUACGGGAGGCAGCAGUAGGGAAUCGUCCGCAAUGGGCGAAAGCCUGACGGAGCAACGCCGCGUGAGUGAUGAAGGUCUUCGGAUCGUAAAACUCUGUUAUUAGGGAAGAACAAAUGUGUAAGUAACUAUGCACGUCUUGACGGUACCUAAUCAGAAAGCCACGGCUAACUACGUG
This 497-nucleotide ribosomal RNA is filed under the name uncultured bacterium. Its description in RNAcentral is "partial 16S ribosomal RNA". It matches the Rfam family "Bacterial small subunit ribosomal RNA", at positions 28 to 507 of the family's 1533-position model. The record is from RNAcentral.